GGUUAAGCGACUAAGCGUACACGGUGGAUGCCCUGGCAGUCAGAGGCGAUGAAGGACGUGCUAAUCUGCGAUAAGCGUCGGUAAGGUGAUAUGAACCGUUAUAACCGGCGAUUUCCGAAUGGGGAAACCCAGUGUGAUUCGUCACACUAUCAUUAACUGAAUCCAUAGGUUAAUGAGGCGAACCGGGGGAACUGAAACAUCUAAGUACCCCGAGGAAAAGAAAUCAACCGAGAUUCCCCCAGUAGCGGCGAGCGAACGGGGAGCAGCCCAGAGCCUGAAUCAGUGUGUGUGUUAGUGGAAGCGUCUGGAAAGGCGCGCGAUACAGGGUGACAGCCCCGUACACAAAAAUGCACAUGCUGUGAGCUCGAUGAGUAGGGCGGGACACGUGGUAUCCUGUCUGAAUAUGGGGGGACCAUCCUCCAAGGCUAAAUACUCCUGACUGACCGAUAGUGAACCAGUACCGUGAGGGAAAGGCGAAAAGAACCCCGGCGAGGGGAGUGAAAAAGAACCUGAAACCGUGUACGUACAAGCAGUGGGAGCACGCUUAGGCGUGUGACUGCGUACCUUUUGUAUAAUGGGUCAGCGACUUAUAUUCUGUAGCAAGGUUAACCGAAUAGGGGAGCCGAAGGGAAACCGAGUCUUAACUGGGCGUUAAGUUGCAGGGUAUAGACCCGAAACCCGGUGAUCUAGCCAUGGGCAGGUUGAAGGUUGGGUAACACUAACUGGAGGACCGAACCGACUAAUGUUGAAAAAUUAGCGGAUGACUUGUGGCUGGGGGUGAAAGGCCAAUCAAACCGGGAGAUAGCUGGUUCUCCCCGAAAGCUAUUUAGGUAGCGCCUCGUGAAUUCAUCUCCGGGGGUAGAGCACUGUUUCGGCAAGGGGGUCAUCCCGACUUACCAACCCGAUGCAAACUGCGAAUACCGGAGAAUGUUAUCACGGGAGACACACGGCGGGUGCUAACGUCCGUCGUGAAGAGGGAAACAACCCAGACCGCCAGCUAAGGUCCCAAAGUCAUGGUUAAGUGGGAAACGAUGUGGGAAGGCCCAGACAGCCAGGAUGUUGGCUUAGAAGCAGCCAUCAUUUAAAGAAAGCGUAAUAGCUCACUGGUCGAGUCGGCCUGCGCGGAAGAUGUAACGGGGCUAAACCAUGCACCGAAGCUGCGGCAGCGACGCUGAUGCGUUGUUGGGUAGGGGAGCGUUCUGUAAGCCUGUGAAGGUGUACUGUGAGGUAUGCUGGAGGUAUCAGAAGUGCGAAUGCUGACAUAAGUAACGAUAAAGCGGGUGAAAAGCCCGCUCGCCGGAAGACCAAGGGUUCCUGUCCAACGUUAAUCGGGGCAGGGUGAGUCGACCCCUAAGGCGAGGCCGAAAGGCGUAGUCGAUGGGAAACAGGUUAAUAUUCCUGUACUUGGUGUUACUGCGAAGGGGGGACGGAGAAGGCUAUGUUGGCCGGGCGACGGUUGUCCCGGUUUAAGCGUGUAGGCUGGUUUUCCAGGCAAAUCCGGAAAAUCAAGGCUGAGGCGUGAUGACGAGGCACUACGGUGCUGAAGCAACAAAUGCCCUGCUUCCAGGAAAAGCCUCUAAGCAUCAGGUAACAUCAAAUCGUACCCCAAACCGACACAGGUGGUCAGGUAGAGAAUACCAAGGCGCUUGAGAGAACUCGGGUGAAGGAACUAGGCAAAAUGGUGCCGUAACUUCGGGAGAAGGCACGCUGAUAUGUAGGUGAAGUCCCUUGCGGAUGGAGCUGAAAUCAGUCGAAGAUACCAGCUGGCUGCAACUGUUUAUUAAAAACACAGCACUGUGCAAACACGAAAGUGGACGUAUACGGUGUGACGCCUGCCCGGUGCCGGAAGGUUAAUUGAUGGGGUCAGCGCAAGCGAAGCUCUUGAUCGAAGCCCCGGUAAACGGCGGCCGUAACUAUAACGGUCCUAAGGUAGCGAAAUUCCUUGUCGGGUAAGUUCCGACCUGCACGAAUGGCGUAAUGAUGGCCAGGCUGUCUCCACCCGAGACUCAGUGAAAUUGAACUCGCUGUGAAGAUGCAGUGUACCCGCGGCAAGACGGAAAGACCCCGUGAACCUUUACUAUAGCUUGACACUGAACAUUGAGCCUUGAUGUGUAGGAUAGGUGGGAGGCUUUGAAGUGUGGACGCCAGUCUGCAUGGAGCCGACCUUGAAAUACCACCCUUUAAUGUUUGAUGUUCUAACGUUGACCCGUAAUCCGGGUUGCGGACAGUGUCUGGUGGGUAGUUUGACUGGGGCGGUCUCCUCCUAAAGAGUAACGGAGGAGCACGAAGGUUGGCUAAUCCUGGUCGGACAUCAGGAGGUUAGUGCAAUGGCAUAAGCCAGCUUGACUGCGAGCGUGACGGCGCGAGCAGGUGCGAAAGCAGGUCAUAGUGAUCCGGUGGUUCUGAAUGGAAGGGCCAUCGCUCAACGGAUAAAAGGUACUCCGGGGAUAACAGGCUGAUACCGCCCAAGAGUUCAUAUCGACGGCGGUGUUUGGCACCUCGAUGUCGGCUCAUCACAUCCUGGGGCUGAAGUAGGUCCCAAGGGUAUGGCUGUUCGCCAUUUAAAGUGGUACGCGAGCUGGGUUUAGAACGUCGUGAGACAGUUCGGUCCCUAUCUGCCGUGGGCGCUGGAGAACUGAGGGGGGCUGCUCCUAGUACGAGAGGACCGGAGUGGACGCAUCACUGGUGUUCGGGUUGUCAUGCCAAUGGCACUGCCCGGUAGCUAAAUGCGGAAGAGAUAAGUGCUGAAAGCAUCUAAGCACGAAACUUGCCCCGAGAUGAGUUCUCCCUGACUCCUUGAGAGUCCUGAAGGAACGUUGAAGACGACGACGUUGAUAGGCCGGGUGUGUAAGCGCAGCGAUGCGUUGAGCUAACCGGUACUAAUGAACCGUGAGGCUUAACCUU
This 2904-nucleotide ribosomal RNA is filed under the name Escherichia coli. RNAcentral's name for it is "23S ribosomal RNA". It matches the Rfam family "Bacterial large subunit ribosomal RNA". Lineage: Bacteria; Pseudomonadati; Pseudomonadota; Gammaproteobacteria; Enterobacterales; Enterobacteriaceae. The record is from RNAcentral.